GCCCCGGUAUGCCAAUCGGUAGAGCACGCGGCCUCAAAAACCGUCCAGUGUGGGUUCGAGUCCCACCCGGGGUA
Molecule: transfer RNA, 74 nt
Filed under: Actinomycetota bacterium
Lineage: Bacteria; Bacillati; Actinomycetota
Description: tRNA-Leu
Rfam family: tRNA
About the family: Transfer RNA (tRNA) molecules are approximately 80 nucleotides in length. Their secondary structure includes four short double-helical elements and three loops (D, anti-codon, and T loops).
Source: RNAcentral